RNAcentral lists this ribosomal RNA (616 nucleotides) under Galerina calyptrata. Its description in RNAcentral is "eukaryotic LSU rRNA". The stretch from base 269 to 422 matches the Rfam family "5.8S ribosomal RNA". The record is from RNAcentral. Lineage: Eukaryota; Fungi; Basidiomycota; Agaricomycetes; Agaricales; Galerinaceae.
AAGGUUUCCGUAGGUGAACCUGCGGAAGGAUCAUUAUUGAAUAAACCUGAUGUGGUUGUAGCUGGCCCUUUUGGGGGCAUGUGCUCGCCCAUCAUAUUUAUCUUUCCACCUGUGCACUUUUUGUAGACCUGGAUCUAGUUUCCGAGGCCACUCGGUCGUGAGGACUGCCUUUAUGGGCUUUUCUUGAAUGGUUCAGGCCUAUGUUUUCACAUACUCCAAAGAAUGUAACAGAAUGUAAAAUUGGGCCUAGUGCCUAUAAACUAUAUACAACUUUCAGCAACGGAUCUCUUGGCUCUCGCAUCGAUGAAGAACGCAGCGAAAUGCGAUAAGUAAUGUGAAUUGCAGAAUUCAGUGAAUCAUCGAAUCUUUGAACGCACCUUGCGCUCCUUGGUAUUCCGAGGAGCAUGCCUGUUUGAGUGUCAUUAAAUUCUCAACCUUAUCAGCUUUUGUUGAUAAAGGCUUGGAUGUGGGGGCCUUUUUGCUGGCUUCAUUAAUGAGGUCUGCUCCCCUUAAAUGCAUUAGCUGGUGCCCCGUGUGGACCGUCUAUUGGUGUGAUAACUAUCUAUGCCGUGGGCGUCUACUUUGAAUGGGAUGUGCUGCUUCAAACUGUCCUUGG